This 538-nucleotide ribosomal RNA is filed under the name Listeria seeligeri. RNAcentral describes it as "bacterial SSU rRNA". It matches the Rfam family "Bacterial small subunit ribosomal RNA", at positions 1 to 520 of the family's 1533-position model. The record is from RNAcentral. Lineage: Bacteria; Bacillati; Bacillota; Bacilli; Caryophanales; Listeriaceae.
UUUAAAGAGAGUUUGAUCCUGGCUCAGGACGAACGCUGGCGGCGUGCCUAAUACAUGCAAGUCGAACGAACGGAGGAAGAGCUUGCUCUUCCAAAGUUAGUGGCGGACGGGUGAGUAACACGUGGGCAACCUGCCUGUAAGUUGGGGAUAACUCCGGGAAACCGGGGCUAAUACCGAAUGAUAAGGAGUGACGCAUGUCACUGCUUUGAAAGAUGGUUUCGGCUAUCGCUUACAGAUGGGCCCGCGGUGCAUUAGCUAGUUGGUAGGGUAAAGGCCUACCAAGGCAACGAUGCAUAGCCGACCUGAGAGGGUGAUCGGCCACACUGGGACUGAGACACGGCCCAGACUCCUACGGGAGGCAGCAGUAGGGAAUCUUCCGCAAUGGACGAAAGUCUGACGGAGCAACGCCGCGUGUAUGAAGAAGGUUUUCGGAUCGUAAAGUACUGUUGUUAGAGAAGAAUAAGGAUAAGAGUAACUGCUUGUCCCUUGACGGUAUCUAACCAGAAAGCCACGGCUAACUACGUGCCAGCAGCCGCGG